This 292-nucleotide ribosomal RNA is filed under the name uncultured Prevotellaceae bacterium. Its description in RNAcentral is "partial 16S ribosomal RNA". It matches the Rfam family "Bacterial small subunit ribosomal RNA", at positions 62 to 339 of the family's 1533-position model. Lineage: Bacteria; Pseudomonadati; Bacteroidota; Bacteroidia; Bacteroidales; Prevotellaceae. The record is from RNAcentral.
UCGAGGGGAAACGACAUCGAAAGCUUGCUUUUGAUGGGCGUCGACCGGCGCACGGGUGAGUAACGCGUAUCCAACCUGCCCAUCACUUUGGGAAUAAACCUUGCGAAAGUAAGACUAAUACCCAAUGAUAUCCCACGAAGGCAUCCGAAUGGGAUUAAAGAUUUAUCGGUGAUGGAUGGGGAUGCGUCUGAUUAGCUUGUUGGCGGGGUAACGGCCCACCAAGGCGACGAUCAGGUAGGGGUUCUGAGAGGAACGGUCCCCCACAUUGGAACUGAGACACGGUCCAAACUCC